AAGUCGUAACAAGGUCUCCGUUGGUGAACCAGCGGAGGGAUCAUUACAGAGUUGCAAAACUCCCUAAACCAUCGCGAACGUACCCUUACCGUUGCUUCGGCGGAGCCCGCGCGGGCGCCCGCCGGCGGCACUACAAACUCUUUUUUAUUACAGGCCUCUCUGAGUAUUUAUACAAAUAAGUUAAAACUUUCAACAACGGAUCUCUUGGUUCUG
Molecule: unclassified non-coding RNA, 213 nt
Filed under: fungal sp.
Lineage: Eukaryota; Fungi
Description: partial internal transcribed spacer region
Rfam family: Eukaryotic small subunit ribosomal RNA (bases 1-46)
Source: RNAcentral